CCUACGGGAGGCAGCAGUGGGGAAUUUUGGACAAUGGGGGAAACCCUGAUCCAGCCAUGCCGCGUGCGGGAAGAAGACCUUCGGGUUGUAAACCGCUUUUGUCGGGGAAGAAACGGUCUGCGUUAAUACCGCGGACUAAUGACGGUACCCGAAGAAUAAGCACCGGCUAACUACGUGCCAGCAGCCGCGGUAAUACGUAGGGUGCAAGCGUUAAUCGGAAUUACUGGGCGUAAAGCGUGCGCAGGCGGCUUUGCAAGACAGAUGUGAAAUCCCCGGGCUUAACCUGGGAACUGCAUUUGUGACUGCAUGGCUGGAGUGCGGCAGAGGGGGAUGGAAUUCCGCGUGUAGCAGUGAAAUGCGUAGAUAUGCGGAGGAACACCGAUGGCGAAGGCAAUCCCCUGGGCCUGCACUGACGUUCAUGCACGAAAGCGUGGGGAGCAAACAGGAUUAGAUACCCUGGUAGUCCACGCCCUAAACGAUGUCAACUGGUUGUUGGACGGCUUGCUGUUCAGUAACGAAGCUAACGCGUGAAGUUGUCCGCCUGGGGAGUACGGCCGCAAGGUUGAAACUCAAACGUAUUGACGG
Molecule: ribosomal RNA, 585 nt
Filed under: uncultured bacterium
Lineage: Bacteria
Description: bacterial SSU rRNA
Rfam family: Bacterial small subunit ribosomal RNA
Source: RNAcentral